UCAACCCUCAAGCGCAGCUUGGUAUUGAGCCCGUGUCAGCGAUGGCAGGCUCCAAAAUCAGUGGCGGCGCCGCUGGGCCCUGAACGUAGUAAUAUCUCUCGUUACAGGCGCUCGGCGCGCUUCUGCCAAAGCCCCAACUUUCU
This 143-nucleotide ribosomal RNA is filed under the name Sclerotinia pirolae. The record is from RNAcentral. Lineage: Eukaryota; Fungi; Ascomycota; Leotiomycetes; Helotiales; Sclerotiniaceae.